AAUGAGAAACCAGCCAGUUGGUCCCGCAGCUGUGAUGAACAGGCCUCCGCGUUAGUCUUUCCCUUCCUGACGCUCCUCUGCGGGGGAGACUGAACGGGCUGCCCCUGCACAGCCUCCCCUCCCCGGUCCUCCCGCAGCCCCCUCUGCGCCCACACGCAAAUCCCAUGGACCCGAAGAGGAAAGAGGACAAGAGCGGGACAGCCCGUGCAAAGCCGCCCAGCGGUGUGUGCGGACCCAGUGCUAGAAGGUAGAUCCACUACAUCUUCCAGUCUUCAUGAAGUGGCCUCAAAAAGAAGUUCUCCUGUGGGGUCCAGUGGAACUAUCACCCCUGGUUACCAGAGCCAGGACCCAGGCACUUCUGGAACCGCUGCUUCUGCGCUGGAGCUUGGAGCGGG
This is a long non-coding RNA of Myotis brandtii (Brandt's bat), 395 nucleotides long. RefSeq lists it as uncharacterized. The transcript is spliced from 4 exons. The record is from RefSeq and is a predicted model, not a curated record. Lineage: Eukaryota; Metazoa; Chordata; Mammalia; Chiroptera; Vespertilionidae.